This 125-nucleotide small RNA is filed under the name Marmota monax (woodchuck). The record is from RNAcentral. Lineage: Eukaryota; Metazoa; Chordata; Mammalia; Rodentia; Sciuridae.
GCUGGGUGUGGUGGCACAUGCCUGUAAUCCCAGUGGUUUGGGAGGCUAAGACAGGAGGAUUGUGAGUUCAAAGCCAGCCUCAGGAACAGUGGGGCACUAAGCAACUCAGUGAGACCCUGUCUCUA